GGUUGCGAUCAUACCAGCACUAAUGCACCGGAUCCCAUCAGAACUCCGCAGUUAAGCGUGCUUGGGCGAGAACUCCGCAGUUAAGCGUGCUUGGCCGAGAGUAGUACUAGGAUGGGUGACCCCCUGGGAAGUCCUCGUGUUGCAACCC
Molecule: ribosomal RNA, 148 nt
Filed under: Helianthus annuus (common sunflower)
Lineage: Eukaryota; Viridiplantae; Streptophyta; Magnoliopsida; Asterales; Asteraceae
Source: RNAcentral